AACGAACGCUGGCGGCAUGCCUAACACAUGCAAGUCGAACGAGACCUUCGGGACUAGUGGCGCUCGGGUGCGUCACGUGUCGGACCCUGCACUUAGAUUCGGAAUAACUCUCCGACAGGGGUGCUAACACCGGAUAAUGUCUUCUGACCAAAGAUAUAUCGUGCUUGUGUGGGCCCGCGUUGUUUUAGCUUGUUGGUAGGGUAAUAGCCUACCAAAGCGACGAUCCAUAGCUGGUCAGAGAGCAUGAUAAGCCACACUGAGUCGGGGACACGGCCCAGACUCCUACGGGAGGCGGGAGAGGGGGAUAUAGGACAAUCGAGGAAAGCAUGAACCAGCUAGGCCGCGUGAGUGAUGUAGGCCGGAGAGUAGUAAAGCACUUUUACCCGGGAUGAUAAUGACAGUACCGAAAGAAUAAGCUCCGGCUAACUCCGUG
RNAcentral lists this ribosomal RNA (433 nucleotides) under uncultured bacterium. RNAcentral describes it as "partial 16S ribosomal RNA". It matches the Rfam family "Bacterial small subunit ribosomal RNA", at positions 29 to 507 of the family's 1533-position model. The record is from RNAcentral.